This 253-nucleotide ribosomal RNA is filed under the name uncultured bacterium. RNAcentral describes it as "partial 16S ribosomal RNA". It matches the Rfam family "Bacterial small subunit ribosomal RNA", at positions 524 to 776 of the family's 1533-position model. The record is from RNAcentral.
UACGUAGGGUGCAAGCGUUAAUCGGAAUUACUGGGCGUAAAGCGUGCGCAGGCGGUUUCGUAAGUCUGUCGUGAAAUCCCCGGGCUUAACCUGGGAAUGGCGAUGGAGACUGCGAGGCUAGAGUUUGGCAGAGGGGGGUAGAAUUCCACGUGUAGCAGUGAAAUGCGUAGAUAUCAGGAGGAAUACCGAUGGCGAAGGCAGGUCUCUGGGCUGACACUGACGCUCAUGCACGAAAGCGUGGGGAGCAAACAGG